CUAACACAUGCAAGUCGAGCGGGCGUAGCAAUACGGCAGCGGCAGACGGGAGAGUAACACGUGGGAACGCGCCCUUCGGUUCGGAAUAACUCAGGGAAACUUGGGCUAAUACCGGAUACGCCCUUACGGGGAAAGAUUUAUUGCCGAAGGAACGGCCCGCGUCCGAUUAGCUUGUUGGUGAGGUAACGGCCCCCCAACGCGACGAUCGGUAGCUGGUCU
Molecule: ribosomal RNA, 219 nt
Filed under: uncultured Pseudomonadota bacterium
Lineage: Bacteria; Pseudomonadati; Pseudomonadota
Description: uncultured proteobacterium partial 16S ribosomal RNA
Rfam family: Bacterial small subunit ribosomal RNA
Source: RNAcentral